Molecule: ribosomal RNA, 395 nt
Filed under: uncultured bacterium
Lineage: Bacteria
Description: bacterial SSU rRNA
Rfam family: Bacterial small subunit ribosomal RNA
Source: RNAcentral
AUUGAACGCUGGCGGCAUGCCUUACACAUGCAAGUCGAACGGCAGCACGGGAGCAAUCCUGGUGGCGAGUGGCGAACGGGUGAGUAAUAUAUCGGAACGUGCCCGGUCGUGGGGAUAACGUAGCGAAAGCUACGCUAAUACCGCAUACGAUCUACGGAUGAAAGCGGGGGAUCGCAAGACCUCGCGCGAUUGGAGCGGCCGAUAUCAGAUUAGGUAGUUGGUGAGGUAAAGGCUCACCAAGCCGACGAUCUGUAGCUGGUCUGAGAGGACGACCAGCCACACUGGGACUGAGACACGGCCCAGACUCCUACGGGAGGCAGCAGUGGGGAAUUUUGGACAAUGGGCGCAAGCCUGAUCCAGCAAUGCCGCGUGCAGGAUGAAGGCCUUCGGGUUGU